This 576-nucleotide ribosomal RNA is filed under the name uncultured Gammaproteobacteria bacterium. Its description in RNAcentral is "bacterial SSU rRNA". It matches the Rfam family "Bacterial small subunit ribosomal RNA", at positions 102 to 673 of the family's 1533-position model. Lineage: Bacteria; Pseudomonadati; Pseudomonadota; Gammaproteobacteria. The record is from RNAcentral.
ACGGGUGAGUAACGCGUAGGAAUAUGCCUUAUAGACUGGGACAACUUGUGGAAACGCAAGCUAAUACCGGAUACAUUCUUCGGAAGAAAGGUUGGGACCAUAUGGCCAGCCGCUAUAAGAUUAGCCUGCGUCCGAUUAGCUUGUUGGUGGGGUAAAGGCCUACCAAGGCGACGAUCGGUAGCUGUUCUGAGAGGAAGGACAGCCACACUGGAACUGAGAGACGGUCCAGACUCCUACGGGAGGCAGCAGUGGGGAAUAUUGGACAAUGGGGGGAACCCUGAUCCAGCAAUGCCGCGUGUGUGAAGAAGGCCUGAGGGUUGUAAAGCACUUUCAGUGGGGAGGAUGUUGGUUGAUAUGAAUAGUAUUAAUUAAUGACGUUACCCACAAAAGCAGCACCGGCUAACUCCGUGCCAGCAGCCGCGGUAAUACGGAGGGUGCAAGCGUUAAUCGGAAUGACUGGGCGUAAAGGGUGCGUAGGUUGUUAUUUAAGUUAUCUGUGAAAGGCAAGGGCUCAACCUUUGGACUGCAGCUAAUACUGGAUGACUUGAGUAUGGGAGAGGGUAGUGGAAUUUCCGG